UUAAGAAAUAAUUAUUUAAAAUAAUACCUGCUCAAUGAAUUAUUAAUAAAUAGCUGCAAAUUUUUGUACUAAGGUAGCAUAAUCAUUAGCUUUCUAAUUAAAAGAUAGAAUGAAUGGUCAUACGAAAUAUAAACUGUUUCUAAAAAUUAAAAUAACUUAAAAUUUAAAGUAAAAAUUCUUUAAUCUAUAAGAAAGACGACAAGACCCUAAAAAACUUAAAAUUUUACUGGGGUGGUAUAAAAAUAAAAUCUUAAUUUAUAUAAUUUACAAAACUUUUUUAAUAAAUAUAGAUAAAGUUACUUUAGGGAUAACAGCGCAAUUUUAAUUUAAAGAUCUUAUAAAAAUUAAAUAUUACGACCUCGAUGUUGAAUUAAUUUAAUUUUAUAUAGCAAAAUAUAUAAAAAAAGGUCUGUUCGACCAAUAAAAAAUUACGUGAUCUGAGUUCA
Molecule: ribosomal RNA, 446 nt
Filed under: Pholcidae sp. BAH_28365_B07
Lineage: Eukaryota; Metazoa; Arthropoda; Arachnida; Araneae; Pholcidae
Description: partial 16S ribosomal RNA
Source: RNAcentral